UACAGAGGGGGCAAGCGUUAUUCGGAAUUAUUGGGCGUAAAGGGCGCGUAGGCGGUUUUUUAAGUCGGAUGUGCAAUCCCCAGGCUCAACCUGGGAACUGCAUCCGAGACUGGAAGGCUAGAGUACUGGAGAGGGUGGUGGAAUUCCUCGUGUAGCGGUGAAAUGCGUAGAGAUGAGGAGGAACACCAGUGGCGAAGGCGGCUCACUGGUCCAUUACUGACGCUGAGGUGCGAAAGCGUGGGGAGCAAACAGG
This 253-nucleotide ribosomal RNA is filed under the name uncultured bacterium. Its description in RNAcentral is "partial 16S ribosomal RNA". It matches the Rfam family "Bacterial small subunit ribosomal RNA", at positions 524 to 776 of the family's 1533-position model. The record is from RNAcentral.